GAUGAACGCUAGCGGCAGGCUUAACACAUGCAAGUCGAGGGGCAGCGCGGGAUAGCAAUAUCCUGGCGGCGACCGGCGGAAGGGUGCGUAACGCGUGAGCGACAUGCCCGUUGCCCGGGGACAACCGGUGGAAACGCCGACUAAUCCCCGAUGGGAUACGAUGCUUCAUGGCAUUGUAUUGAAAGUUACGGCGGCGACGGAUUGGCUCGCGUCCGAUUAGCUGGUUGGCGGGGUAACGGCCCACCAAGGCUGCGAUCGGUAGGGGUUCUGAGAGGAAGGCCCCCCACAAUGGUACUGAGACACGGCCCAUACUCCUACGGGAGGCAGCAGUGAGGAAUAUUGGUCAAUGGGCGGAAGCCUGAACCAGCCAUGCCGCGUGCGGGAAGGAGGCCCUAUGGGCUGUGAACCGCUUUUGCCUGGGGGCAAUAAGGGCGUCGCGCACGUCCGAUGAGAGUACCAGGCGAAUAAGCAUCGGCUAACUCCGUG
Molecule: ribosomal RNA, 486 nt
Filed under: uncultured bacterium
Lineage: Bacteria
Description: partial 16S ribosomal RNA
Rfam family: Bacterial small subunit ribosomal RNA
Source: RNAcentral